RNAcentral lists this ribosomal RNA (254 nucleotides) under uncultured bacterium. RNAcentral's name for it is "partial 16S ribosomal RNA". It matches the Rfam family "Bacterial small subunit ribosomal RNA", at positions 524 to 776 of the family's 1533-position model. The record is from RNAcentral.
GACGUAGGGCGCGAGCGUUGUCCGGAUUUAUUGGGCGUAAAGAGCUCGUAGGCGGCUUGUCGCGUCAACUGUGAAAACCCGUGGCUCAACCAUGUGGUCUGCAGUCGAUACGGGCAGGCUAGAACUCGGUAGGGGAGACUGGAAUUCAUGGUGUAGCAGUGAAAUGCGUAGAGAUCAUGAGGAAGACCAGUGGCGAAGGCGGGUCUCUGGACAGUUCCUGACACUGAGACACGAAGGCCAGGGGAGCAAACGGG